CCCACCUAAAUUCUGGAAGGCCCCACCUCCCUUAGCCCCAACAGGCAGUGCUCAUCAUCAACGACUUUCCUCCAAGCCCCCGCCCUCUGCAUACUGCAUGGACUCCAGGAGUCCCCUGCCCCCACUCCCACCCAGGAAAGCUGGUCUAGGACCAAUCAGAGGCUGUGGAACUUUCUGGAAGGCCCAGGGCUUCUCCCUGGGUGGGGCAGGGCCUCUGAUUGGAGGAGGCCUGCCAGAAGGGUGGGGCGAUGGGCGUGGCUAACGGGAUAACUGCCAGAGCAGAAGACAGUUGGCAGUUAUUUCGCAACCUUCAUCUGUUCCUGGAAGAUACCCGUAGCCUGCCUUCCUUCUUGACAGGCUGAUUUAGGGGUGCUCCCCAAGAAGAUCAGGACUGCUGAAAGAAUGAAGAAGAACUUACUUGGCCUAGGAUGUGGCUAGAGAACGGAGCGCACUUUCACUUACCUGGCAAGGUGGUUUUGGAAGUUUCCACGGAAGCCUUCCCAGGGCCGCUGCUGCCCGUCCUCGCCUAGGUGUGGAGCUUCCCGACCGGCUGGGGAGGGAAUGUCCUGCGGGAGCCGCCGAGGACCCUCUUUAGCCUCUUCCCUGGCUUGGCUGCAGCUGCAGUCUGGUACUCGCCCAUUCUGCUCUUCUUCACCUCCGUAUUUUCUCUCUCACGGAAGAAGAAUUCCAUUCUCCCAUCCCAGGAAGGAGAGUGCCCUGCGUGCCACGAAAGAGCCCAGGACCCACAGGACAAAUACGUCACUGGCAGACCUGCCUUCGCCAGCGCCAGCCCAUCUCUGAAACCUCCAGCAUUUGUGCCCCGGUCCGGCCCCUCCCAGGCCUGACUCUUUCCGUGAACGGUCACUGCGCAGGAUCAAGCUACAAUGAAGAGGAGGGAGGCAGUCUGCGCGCACCGCCAUUUUCUAGGAACUGGGAAGCCCCCCCACCCCUUAGGAAGAUCCAUCCCUGUGGAACCUUGCCCAGGCUUACCAGCCUUUGCUGAGGUUGAUCUAUUGUCCCUCCUUGUCCCCAUCAAAAUAUCCAGCACUCCACCUUCAGGGAGUAGACUUGACCCUCAAAUAGCAAGUUCAGCCUUCCCAGGUCUAGGUUCCCUGGGAGGUCAAGAUUCGUCUGGUUCCUUAGUACAGAGGGCUAGCUGUGAGUUGGAAUCCCCCUAUGAGCUUUAGAAUCAGUCAAGAGGAAUUGGGCCCCUUCCCUUCAUCCCUCUUCUUUUCCCUUUUUGUCCCAGAGCUCAGCUCUGACUCAAAAGUUUUUCCAUUUACCAUCAACAUGGAAACUUGGCUCCUCACGUAGGUAUAUUAUCCCCCUUUUGUACAUGGUCUUGUUGAUCCAAACUCCCUUUCUGUGAAAGAGGCCUGUGGGGCUCAAGAAGCCUGGUCAGCCAGCCAGGCUAGUCCCACAUACCUCAGAACCAGUUUAAUAAAGGCUCUAUGUCAUUCUUUUUUGCUUGGG
RNAcentral lists this long non-coding RNA (1473 nucleotides) under Homo sapiens (human). RNAcentral's name for it is "non-protein coding lnc-DAAM2-9:7". Lineage: Eukaryota; Metazoa; Chordata; Mammalia; Primates; Hominidae. The record is from RNAcentral.